AUACAGGUCGAGCAAGGAUGAAAAUCGGACUUAGUGAUCCGGUGGUUCUGCGUGGAAGGGCCAUCGCUCAACGGAUAAAAGCUACCCUGGGGAUAACAGGCUUAUCUCCCCCAAGAGUCCACAUCGACGGGGAGGUUUGGCACCUCGAUGUCGGCUCAUCACAUCCUGGGGCUGUAGUAGGUCCCAAGGGUUGGGCUGUUCGCCCAUUAAAGUGGUACGCGAGCUGGGUUCAGAACGUCGUGAGACAGUUCGGUCCCUAUCCGUCGCAGGCGUAGGAAAUUUGAGAAGACCUGUCCUUAGUACGAGAGGACCGGGAUGGACGUACCUCUGGUGUACCAGUUGUCCUGCCAAGGGCAUGGCUGGGUAGCUAUGUACGGAAUGGAUAAGCGCUGAAAGCAUCUAAGCGCGAAGCCAACUUCAAGAUAAGAUUUCCCACCGCAAGGGUAAGACCCCAGAAAGACUAUCUGGUUGAUAGGUCGAAGGUGUAAGUGCAGCAAUGUAUUUAGCUUAUCGAUACUAAUAGGUCGAGGACUUGACCAAU
This 541-nucleotide ribosomal RNA is filed under the name Clostridioides difficile. Its description in RNAcentral is "partial 23S ribosomal RNA". It matches the Rfam family "Bacterial large subunit ribosomal RNA", at positions 2382 to 2925 of the family's 2925-position model. Lineage: Bacteria; Bacillati; Bacillota; Clostridia; Peptostreptococcales; Peptostreptococcaceae. The record is from RNAcentral.